Molecule: ribosomal RNA, 253 nt
Filed under: uncultured Eubacteriales bacterium
Lineage: Bacteria; Bacillati; Bacillota; Clostridia; Eubacteriales
Description: uncultured Clostridiales bacterium partial 16S ribosomal RNA
Rfam family: Bacterial small subunit ribosomal RNA
Source: RNAcentral
UACGUAGGGGGCAAGCGUUAUCCGGAUUUACUGGGCGUAAAGGGAGCGUAGACGGCGAAGAAAGUCUGAAGUGAAAGCCCGCGGCUUAACCAUGGAACUGCUUUGGAAACUGUGCAGCUGGAGUGCAGGAGAGGUAAGCGGAAUUCCUAGUGUAGCGGUGAAAUGCGUAGAUAUUAGGAGGAACACCAGUGGCGAAGGCGGCUUACUGGACUGUAAAUGACGCUGAGGCUCGAAAGCGUGGGGAGCAAACAGG